Molecule: ribosomal RNA, 119 nt
Filed under: Coturnix japonica (Japanese quail)
Lineage: Eukaryota; Metazoa; Chordata; Aves; Galliformes; Phasianidae
Source: RNAcentral
GCCUACCGCCGUACCAUGAUGGAAAUUCCAGAUCUUGUCUGAUCUUGGAAGCUAAGCUGGAUUGAGCUCAGUUAGUACUUGGCUGGGAGACAGCUUGGGAAUACCAAGUGUCAUAGGCA